Molecule: ribosomal RNA, 253 nt
Filed under: uncultured bacterium
Lineage: Bacteria
Description: partial 16S ribosomal RNA
Rfam family: Bacterial small subunit ribosomal RNA
Source: RNAcentral
UACGGAGGGUGCGAGCGUUGUCCGGAAUCAUUGGGCGUAAAGGGCGCGUAGGUGGCGGGAUAAGCGUGCGGUGAAAGCUCGGGGCUCAACCCCGAGUCGGCCGUGCGAACUAUUCUGCUUGAGCACUGUAGAGGCAGGCGGAAUUCCGGGUGUAGCGGUGGAAUGCGUAGAGAUCCGGAAGAACACCGGUGGCGAAGGCGGCUAUCUGGACGGUUACUGACGCUAAGACGCGAAAGCGUGGGGAGCAAACAGG